Molecule: ribosomal RNA, 424 nt
Filed under: uncultured bacterium
Lineage: Bacteria
Description: partial 16S ribosomal RNA
Rfam family: Bacterial small subunit ribosomal RNA
Source: RNAcentral
GAAUUUUGGACGAUGGGGGCAACCCUGAUCCAGCCAUCCCGCGUGUGCGAUGAAGGCCUUCGGGUUGUAAAGCACUUUUGGCAGGGAAGAAAAGGCUCUGGCUAAUACCUGGAGCUGCUGACGGUACCUGCAGAAUAAGCACCGGCUAACUACGUGCCAGCAGCCGCGGUAAUACGUAGGGUGCAAGCGUUAAUCGGAAUGACGGGGCGUAAAGCGUGCGCAGGCGGUUCGGCAAGAAGGAUGUGAAAUCCCAGGGCUUAACCUGGGAACUGCAUUCUUAACUGCCGGGCUAGAGUAUGUCAGAGGGGGGUAGAAUUCCGCGUGUAGCAGUGAAAUGCGUAGAGAUGCGGAGGAAUACCGAUGGCGAAGGCAAUCCCCUGGACCUGUACUGACGCUCAUGCACGAAAGCGUGGGGAGCAAACAG